This 1353-nucleotide long non-coding RNA is filed under the name Olea europaea (common olive). RNAcentral's name for it is "long non-coding RNA (OEUR_LNC009098)". The record is from RNAcentral. Lineage: Eukaryota; Viridiplantae; Streptophyta; Magnoliopsida; Lamiales; Oleaceae.
CAACAUUGUUUAAUAAUUGUAGCACUAUUGAAUAGGCCUGAUCCUUUGGCUUUAUAUUCCUUCAUUCUUCUCUCUCAUCACAUUCCUUGCACUGUAUAUUUCUGGUUCCUGUCUCUCUAUAGCUUCUAGGGUUUUCCUUUUUGACAGUAUAAAUUCAAGAAACUUUUGUAUACCAAUGGCUGAAGGAUCCUUAAAAUGAUCAAGGGAAAAACCAGUAACAGAUUUCAGAUGGAAAAGUUCUUGAUUAUUAGUAGUGUCUUUUCUUUUGAGUAAAGAAACCCUUCUUUGUACCUCACACCCACCCCGCCCCACCCCCAGGAAAAAGAGAGAUUCUUUAGCCGUUUGGUUUUGCUUGAAGAUAGAUCAAAAAGGUAUGUUGAUUAUUCAGAACUUUUCCUUAAAGAAAAGGAUUCAUUUGCUUCUGUUUUGCAGGACAAUUUAGAUGAUGAGGUAAUUUAACGUGGUAUCAAGGUUGAUCGUGGUCAUGAGUUUAACUUUCAAGUGUGAAAAAACCAUUCUAGAUUUGAACCAUUGAAAAAAAAAAUUCAAAUAAAGAAAUUUGUUCUUCCUCUCUAAUGGUUUAAGCUUUUAAAUUAGAUGGUACAGCACCAUAUUUAGAAUACUGCAAAACAUGUCUCGAUCACUACUAUCCAUUUACGAAAAUUAUUGUUCGUGGAUCUUGGCUUUGAGAAAAUUGGAAAGUACGAAAAAUCCUGCUCAAUUUCAAACUUCUAUUCUUGUUCUUCUUGUCCAGGAAGGCCUUCAAGAAUAAUAUGAUGAAAUAGUUAAUGUAGAUGUACUCCCUUGAUGUUUUCCUUCCUCAAUUAUCAUGUUUUUGUGUAAUGAAAAUAAUUCCUGUUAGCUCAUGCAGGUCUAAACAAUUAUAUAGCUAAUUUAAAUGAAGGAAACAUUAAAAGAAGAAAAUGUUAAGUAAUUUAAUUGUUAUAUAUAGGAUUUCACCUAGCUAUUUGAAUUUUAGAAAAUUUCUUGCCUAAGCAAGAUUAAUUAUGUAAAAUAUUUAGUUAUUUGGAUUACUGAUUUAUUUCAAAAUUGUAAAUGCAUCUCUUCAUUGAUGUGAAAAUAGUGCCAGGAGCUUAUCUCUGAAUAGAAAAAAGAACGGAUAUGCAGGCCCCAAAUGAAUUGGCUUAUUCGAAAAAGUACCAUCCAAAUUCUUUUUUUUAUCGUACAUUCUAUAUGUUCAUAAAAAAGGGGUUGUAAGACUAUAUUUAGCACCUUUAUUAGCUAUUAUAUUAACUUGAACUACCUAAAUAAUUAUUUGUUUAAAUUCAUUCUUCCAUUAUUAAUCAUUCAUGACCACUACCCAUUUUAUAUUUAACUUCAAAAUAUGUAUAU